Molecule: long non-coding RNA, 1564 nt
Organism: Camelus dromedarius (Arabian camel)
Lineage: Eukaryota; Metazoa; Chordata; Mammalia; Artiodactyla; Camelidae
Exons: 3
Source: RefSeq, a predicted model, not a curated record
AUGAUUUUGCAGGUUACAGAAUUCUAGGUUGGUAGUUUUUUUUUUCUCUCAACACUUUAAAUAUUUCACUUCACUUUCUUCUUGCUUGCAUGAAUCCUGAGAAGUUAGAUGUAAUUCUUAUUUUUAUUCCUCUGUAGGUUGUUUGCCCUAUUUCUGGAUGGCCAGAUCUGGACAGGAUUAGCAUCAUGGUCAGCCCUGACAGCGGGGAAGCCAUCACCAAGGGGUAACACUGGGAAGAGAGGACGACUUGUCUGGAUGGUGGUAACAGGCCACUCUUCAGCCAUCAGCAUGUAGAAUCACAACAUUGCCCCACUCUUCCCGGUGGUGCAGAGCCCGGGGAAAUCUCCCAAAUCCUCGUAUCCCAGGAGCAACUCCACAGAACCAGGUCAGCCUAACUCCCCCAGUGAAUCAGUUCAGGGCUCUUUACUACCAGCAUCAGAAACCAGCUCUAGCUAAUUUAAUCCCAAAUGGAAUUUAGUAAAACAUUGAGAUGGUUGGAGAACCAGGCUUGGACAAGGGCUUCUGAAACAGGAAAGACACCCCAAAGCAUUUCACAGAACCAACUGGCAAAGACACCAUCCUCAACCCAGACACUGGACACACUGUUGUUGACUUUGGCGUUGGAGACCAGAAAAACUCCUCUAUCAAAGAACACCAUCAAGUCCUGAAGAAUCUCUACAAACCACGAUCUAUUUACCAUUCUCCAGAAGGGAAAGUGAUGGAAGAGCUAACAGCUGCUUGUUUGAAGCUUAAAGUCCAAGUUGUAAUAUUUAUUCUGACGAACCUUCUGAGAACCAGAAGGGAACCUCUCAGCGCAAAGGGAAAAUUUUGGCCCGUGACUAUGCAUGGUGACAAGUCCUGCAUUGAAGAGAAAAGGAGCCAGUUUUGCUCACCUAGAACUGGGAUGGUCUUCUCACUCUAGGAGACUCCGAAGAAUCUUCCCUGGAUGUGUAAACAGCACAGAUGACUCUGCCCGCCACAGAAAUUAUGAUGCUAGGCACCAUGGGUGUGCAAAGUGAAUGUUUUGAAACUUGCCGCCCACGCUUGCCACCUCCCUGCACCCACUGAAUUUCAACACUGGUCUAGUGGAGCAAUGUUGAUAUUCCCCUGGCAGGAACUCCUUCCCAGAGGCUCUAGGAUGAGGCAGGCUUGCUCGGAGCAGUUUCCCUGCAUGGUGAUUUGAUGGCAUGCAGUGGACUUGCAAAUUAACUGGAUGUGAAAUUUUAUUUUCAGCACAAAAUUUUGCCAGGACAUAAAUACUCUCUAUUGGGCCUUCCCCAAUAUCAAGCCUCUGAUGCUGCCUGGUGUGAGCACCAGUGAGAAUAUGGACUGGACUGUCAGUUGUCUGUUCGAUUUUACUUAAAAUGAUUAUUGACCCUCCCUGCCCCCAGCCUGAUUUCUCUCAGAGCUGAUCUAAUUUCUUUCGUGAUCUGUGCCUGUGGACUCCUGUUAAUUUGUUAACUGAGUUAGCUGCUGCCAGAGCAUCAGAAGAUCUUCACUGGGCUCUGUACAGGGUCUAACGGUGGAACGCUGACGGUAAUAAAGCUGUGCUGGUUGAAACAAA